This 72-nucleotide transfer RNA is filed under the name Marmota monax (woodchuck). RNAcentral's name for it is "tRNA.Undet". The record is from RNAcentral. Lineage: Eukaryota; Metazoa; Chordata; Mammalia; Rodentia; Sciuridae.
GGUAUUGAGCUCAGUGGUAGAUCUCUUGCCCAAGCAAGUGCAAGGAUCUGGGUUCAAUCCUCAGCAUUGCCA